RNAcentral lists this ribosomal RNA (444 nucleotides) under uncultured bacterium. RNAcentral describes it as "bacterial SSU rRNA". It matches the Rfam family "Bacterial small subunit ribosomal RNA", at positions 64 to 507 of the family's 1533-position model. The record is from RNAcentral.
GCGUGCGCAGUUGCCGUAGCUUACGGUGAUGGGCGCACGGCGCACGGGUGCGUAACACGUGGGCAAUCUGCCCUCCGAUGGGGAAUACCCCCUCGAAAGCGGGACUAAUUCCGCAUAACAUUCCCUAGGCGAUGGUCUGGGGAUUCAAAGCAGUGAUGCGUCCGAGGAGGAGCCCGCGCCCGAUUAGAUAGUUGGUGAGGUAACGGCUCACCAAAGCCAUGAUCGGUAGCUGGUCUGAUAGGAUGAUCAGCCACACUGGAACUGAUACACGGUCCACACUCCUACGGGAGGCAGCAUUGGGGAAUCUUGCGCAAUGGGCGAAAGCCUGACACAGCGACUCCGCGUGGGGGAUGAAGCUUUUCGGAGUGUAAACCCCUUUCGACUGGGACGAAUGCCCGCAAGGGAGUGACGGUACCAAUAGAAGAAGCCCCGGCUAACUACGUG